Molecule: transfer RNA, 94 nt
Filed under: Deferribacter autotrophicus
Lineage: Bacteria; Pseudomonadati; Deferribacterota; Deferribacteres; Deferribacterales; Deferribacteraceae
Description: tRNA-Ser
Rfam family: tRNA
About the family: Transfer RNA (tRNA) molecules are approximately 80 nucleotides in length. Their secondary structure includes four short double-helical elements and three loops (D, anti-codon, and T loops).
Source: RNAcentral
GGAGAGGUGGCCGAGUCGGUCGAAGGCGCUCGCCUGCUAAGCGAGUGUACCCCUAAAAAGGGUACCGCGGGUUCGAAUCCCGCCCUCUCCGCCA